This 73-nucleotide transfer RNA is filed under the name Eggerthella sp. CAG:298. It matches the Rfam family "tRNA". Rfam says of the family: Transfer RNA (tRNA) molecules are approximately 80 nucleotides in length. Lineage: Bacteria; Bacillati; Actinomycetota; Coriobacteriia; Eggerthellales; Eggerthellaceae. The record is from Rfam by way of RNAcentral.
GCGGACGUGGCUCAGUUGGUAGAGCAUCACCUUGCCAAGGUGAGGGUCGCGGGUUCGAACCCCGUCGUCCGCU